Molecule: ribosomal RNA, 761 nt
Filed under: uncultured soil bacterium
Lineage: Bacteria
Description: bacterial SSU rRNA
Rfam family: Bacterial small subunit ribosomal RNA
Source: RNAcentral
GAACGCUGGCGGCGUACUUAACACAUGCAAGUCGAACGAGGAUCUUCGGUGUAGCAAUACAUUGUUGCUCCUAGUGGCGCACGGGUGAGUAACACGUGGGUGACCUGCCCUUGAGCUCGGGAUACCCCCUCGAAAGGGGGGCUAAUACCGGAUACGUUCCUCGGUCGAAAGACCGAGGAGGAAAGGUGGCGCAAGCUGCCGCUCUUGGAGGGGCUCGCGGCCUAUCAGCUAGUUGGCGGGGUAACGGCCCACCAAGGCUAUGACGGGUAGCUGGUCUGAGAGGACGACCAGCCACACGGGGACUGAGACACGGCCCCGACUCCUACGGGAGGCAGCAGUGGGGAAUUUUCCGCAAUGGGCGAAAGCCUGACGGAGUGACGCCGCGUGUGGGACGAAGGCCUUCGGGUCGUAAACCACUGUCAGUGGGAAAGAUGGGUGCCGGUGUUAAUACCAUCGGCAUCUGACGGUACCUGCAGAGGAAGCCCCGGCCAACUCUGUGCCAGCAGCCGCGGUAAGACAGAGGGGGCAAGCGUUGCUCGGAAUUACUAGGCGUAAAGGGCGCAUAGGCGGGAUGGUAAGUCGGUCGUGAAAUCCCUCGGCUCAACCGAGGAACGUCGAUCGAUACUACCGUUCUUGAGGAUUGCGGAGGAGACUGGAAUUCCCGGUGUAGCGGUGAAAUGUGUAGAGAUCGGGAGGAACACCGGUGGCGAAGGUGGGUCUCUGGGCAAUUCCUGACGCUGAGGCGCGAAAGCGUGGGGAGC